AUCAACCUGUGAACGAAAAGGAAAAGAAGGAAGAAGUGUAUCUAUGUAUCUAUUGGUUAGUUCUUAGAAGGCUCUAAUUCCGAAAGGUACACCAGAGGGAAUAGUGUACCUUCCAGGCAGAGAACAUUAUUAUGACCCAGGUUUCCAUCCCUUCGAUGGACGGAGAAGGGGCGGAACUCUUGGAUCGACUUCUAUCCUAGGCUGAUGCUGAUGUUGUCAGACAAUCGAAUAAUAGGUGGCAUUGCCUAAUCGAAUUGAUCAGGUUAUGCGAGAACAAGG
Molecule: ribosomal RNA, 279 nt
Filed under: Trichomanes speciosum
Lineage: Eukaryota; Viridiplantae; Streptophyta; Polypodiopsida; Hymenophyllales; Hymenophyllaceae
Description: Vandenboschia speciosa 4.5S ribosomal RNA
Source: RNAcentral